Molecule: long non-coding RNA, 1004 nt
Filed under: Heterocephalus glaber (naked mole-rat)
Lineage: Eukaryota; Metazoa; Chordata; Mammalia; Rodentia; Bathyergidae
Description: lncRNA (ENSHGLG00000035682.1)
Source: RNAcentral
CGCUAGUCAGGACUUUGAGUCCUGAGGACCUGGUUUCCGAGAACAGCCUCAGUAGGAACGCACAGAAAGUGGCCGCACUAACCAGGGCCUAGCAAAAGCCCAGUGAUUGAAUUCCGGACUGUGCUGGGAGCUUGGGACCCUACUGCACAUAGCAGGGCUGAGUCUUUCUGCUGCUCCUCUCCAUCCUCCGAACAUUCAACCAGCGGGCUCGAUUACAAGGACCGCAGGACCUCAGCAGUGAACCCGGCUUGGGCAAACGGACGCCUCGGUGUGGAGGGAAAGUGGCUCUCUGGCACGGCGGCUUCCGCCCGCGGCUGCUGUCACUGUGUCUGUCUGCAGGAGCCGAGCCGGGCCACGCUGAUCUAAGUUGCCUGAGUCGUCCAUUCCUGAAGAGAGGAGGCAGAGCCAACCUCUUGUUCCCGCAGAACUGAUUUGAUAUCGAUUUGAAUAAAGGCAUCUGCUGCCAUUUUAUUAAGCGCCCUAUUUAAUCUCCAUGUCCCUGCUUCCACUUUCUCUUAAUAUCAACUGUCCUUGUCCCCUUUCAAAGUCAGAGUGACUCGGAAUCGCUUCAGGACUCUAUUCAGUGUGGCCUCUCAGAUGUGAGUUAGAACCUGAACCUACACCAGAAUUUCCUCCUUUUCUUUCUGCAGUUAUUUUUUUCUCCACAAUUUUCUUUUUGAGUAUUUUAAAUACUUAAAAAUGUACGUCAAUCAAAAGAAACUACCGAAAAAAACCCCACAAAACUACCAAGUGUCGCAAAUGUUUUGUGUACAAUACCCUUGCAGAAUGUGAGCAAAAUGUCUUUAGAGUGCGGCUUUCAGCUUUCAAACUGAGACAUGCUCAAAUGAGAGGGGGAAAAAUCCCCACGGCCCAGAGAUGCGGACCAACCCAUCUCCGGAGCGGAAGGAAGGGUGGGGCACAGUGGCGCGCCGGCCUUAGAGACGGGAUGUGAAUGAGCACUUCGAUGCACACCUCACUUUAGCUACGGGAAAAUUACCAGGCAG